CCCGCACAAGCGGCGGAGCAUGCGGAUUAAUUCGAUGCAACGCGAAGAACCUUACCAAGGCCUGACAUACACCGGUAACGCCCAGAGAUGGGUGCCCCUUUGUGGUCGGUGUACAGGUGGUGCAUGGUUGUCGUCAGCUCGUGUCGUGAGAUGUUGGGUUAAGUCCCGCAACGAGCGCAACCCUCGUCCUAUGUUGCCAGCGGGUCAUGCCGGGGACUCAUGGGAGACUGCCGGGGUCAACUCGGAGGAAGGUGGGGAUGACGUCAAAUCAUCAUGCCCCUUAUGUCUUGGGCUUCACGCAUGCUACAAUGGCCGGUACAAAGGGCUGCGAUACCGCGAGGUGGAGCGAAUCCCAGAAAGCCGGUCUCAGUUCGGAUUGGGGUCUGCAACUCGACCCCAUGAAGUCGGAGUCGCUAGUAAUCGCAGAUCAGCAACGCUGCGGUGAAUACGUUCCCGGGCCUU
This 462-nucleotide ribosomal RNA is filed under the name uncultured Curtobacterium sp. Its description in RNAcentral is "bacterial SSU rRNA". It matches the Rfam family "Bacterial small subunit ribosomal RNA", at positions 920 to 1382 of the family's 1533-position model. Lineage: Bacteria; Bacillati; Actinomycetota; Actinomycetes; Micrococcales; Microbacteriaceae. The record is from RNAcentral.